GACUGCACAAAGGUAGCAUAAUCAUUUGUCAUUUGAUUGAUGGCUAGGAUGAAAGGUUGGAUGAGAAAUAUACUUUCUUUGGUUUAUAUAAUUGAACUUGAUUUUUAUGUUAAAAAGCAUAAAUAUAUUUGGGGGACGAGAAGACCCUAUAGAACUUUAUAUUUAGAAUAUAUAAUUCUUUUGGUAAAUGAUAUAUUUAUGGUAUUUUAUGGUAUUUCGUUGGGGUGAUGGUAAAAAAUUCAAAACUUUUAUUUUUUCGAUCAUAUAUAAAUGUUAAUGGUCCAUAUUAUUGAUUAUAAGAUUAAGUUACCUUAGGGAUAACAGCGUUAUUAUCUCGAAGAGUUCUUAUCGAUGGGUUAGAUUGCGACCUCGAUGUUGGAUUAAAUUUAGGUGGCAGGGGUAGGUUUUUGCUAAUUAGGUCUGUUCGACCUUUAAAUUUUUACA
RNAcentral lists this ribosomal RNA (444 nucleotides) under Isometopini sp. 20020d-2. RNAcentral describes it as "partial large subunit ribosomal RNA". It matches the Rfam family "Bacterial large subunit ribosomal RNA", at positions 1944 to 2600 of the family's 2925-position model. The record is from RNAcentral. Lineage: Eukaryota; Metazoa; Arthropoda; Insecta; Hemiptera; Miridae.